RNAcentral lists this ribosomal RNA (567 nucleotides) under Salmonella enterica subsp. enterica serovar Newport. RNAcentral describes it as "partial 23S ribosomal RNA". It matches the Rfam family "Bacterial large subunit ribosomal RNA", at positions 470 to 1035 of the family's 2925-position model. Lineage: Bacteria; Pseudomonadati; Pseudomonadota; Gammaproteobacteria; Enterobacterales; Enterobacteriaceae. The record is from RNAcentral.
AUACUCCUGACUGACCGAUAGUGAACCAGUACCGUGAGGGAAAGGCGAAAAGAACCCCGGCGAGGGGAGUGAAAAAGAACCUGAAACCGUGUACGUACAAGCAGUGGGAGCACAGGUUUACCUGUGUGACUGCGUACCUUUUGUAUAAUGGGUCAGCGACUUAUAUUCUGUAGCAAGGUUAACCGUAUAGGGGAGCCGAAGGGAAACCGAGUCUUAACCGGGCGUUAAGUUGCAGGGUAUAGACCCGAAACCCGGUGAUCUAGCCAUGGGCAGGUUGAAGGUUGGGUAACACUAACUGGAGGACCGAACCGACUAAUGUUGAAAAAUUAGCGGAUGACCUGUGGCUGGGGGUGAAAGGCCAAUCAAACCGGGAGAUAGCUGGUUCUCCCCGAAAGCUAUUUAGGUAGCGCCUCGUGAAUUCAUCUCCGGGGGUAGAGCACUGUUUCGGCUAGGGGGCCAUCCCGGCUUACCAACCCGAUGCAAACUGCGAAUACCGGAGAAUGUUAUCACGGGAGACACACGGCGGGUGCUAACGUCCGUCGUGAAGAGGGAAACAACCCAGACCGC